Molecule: ribosomal RNA, 464 nt
Filed under: Vreelandella stevensii
Lineage: Bacteria; Pseudomonadati; Pseudomonadota; Gammaproteobacteria; Oceanospirillales; Halomonadaceae
Description: partial 16S ribosomal RNA
Rfam family: Bacterial small subunit ribosomal RNA
Source: RNAcentral
CCUACGGGUGGCAGCAGUGGGGAAUAUUGGACAAUGGGCGAAAGCCUGAUCCAGCCAUGCCGCGUGUGUGAAGAAGGCCUUCGGGUUGUAAAGCACUUUCAGUGGGGAAGAAAGCCUUGGGGCUAAUACCCUCGAGGAAGGACAUCACCCACAGAAGAAGCACCGGCUAACUCCGUGCCAGCAGCCGCGGUAAUACGGAGGGUGCGAGCGUUAAUCGGAAUUACUGGGCGUAAAGCGCGCGUAGGCGGUCUGAUAAGCCGGUUGUGAAAGCCCCGGGCUCAACCUGGGAACGGCAUCCGGAACUGUCAGGCUAGAGUGCAGGAGAGGAAGGUAGAAUUCCCGGUGUAGCGGUGAAAGGCGUAGGGAUCGGGAGGAAUACCAGUGGCGAAGGCGGCCUUCUGGACUGACACUGACGCUGAGGUGCGAAAGCGUGGGUAGCAAACAGGAUUAGAUACCCAGUAGUC